AUUGAACGCUGGCGGCAGGCCUAACACAUGCAAGUCGAGCGGAUGAGAGGAGCUUGCUCCUCGAUUCAGCGGCGGACGGGUGAGUAAUGCCUAGGAAUCUGCCUAGUAGUGGGGGACAACGUUCCGAAAGGAACGCUAAUACCGCAUACGUCCUCCGGGAGACAGUGGGGGAUCUUCGGACCUCACUCUAUUAGAUGAGCACAGGUCGGAUUAGCUAGUUGGUAGGUUAAAGGCCUACCAAGGCGACGAACCGUAACUGGGCUGGGGGGAGGGUGAGUCACACUGGAACUGAGACACGGGCAAGACUCCUACGGGAGGCAGCAGUGGGGAAUAUUGGACAAUGGGCGAAAGCCUGGUCCAGCCAUGCCGCGUGUGUGAAGAAGGCCUUCGGGUCGUAAAGCACUUUAAGUUGGGAGGAAGGGCUCAUAGCGAAUACCUGUGAGUUUUGACGUUACCAACAGAAUAAGCACCGGCUAACUUCGUGCCAGCCGCCGCGGUAA
RNAcentral lists this ribosomal RNA (500 nucleotides) under uncultured bacterium. RNAcentral's name for it is "partial 16S ribosomal RNA". It matches the Rfam family "Bacterial small subunit ribosomal RNA", at positions 30 to 523 of the family's 1533-position model. The record is from RNAcentral.